CCACAUUGCAGGCAGACGCUUUACCAUCUGAGCCACCAGGGAAGACCAAGUGUAAGGAAAGCCUCUCUGUUACUGCUGCUUUUAAACACAGCCAGGAGAAAGCCCCGGCACCUUCUUCCUCUACGCUUCAUUUGAUCUGGAUGUGGCUGAUACCUGGGACUGUUAGAGGCCAUCCUGAAACCAGGACAGAGCCUAGAUGCGGAAGGUGGGAGAGAAAUGAACAUCCUCAGUGAUGGAGGUGGGAAAUGCCCAGUUCCAACCUCCAAGCCCAGAGUAUUUCCCUCAAUGAACAAAGAUGGAGCAGAGACAGACAAUUUACAUCACAAGCUGGACAACUGACGUGUAACUGAAGGAAUGGUAACUGAAGGAAUCUUUCUCUAUAUUGUUGUGAUUCUUAGUGGCAGUUCUGAGUUCUAUUAUUAAAACUGAGUGUCACUAUCAGACA
Bubalus bubalis (water buffalo) is the source of this 445-nucleotide long non-coding RNA. RefSeq lists it as uncharacterized. Lineage: Eukaryota; Metazoa; Chordata; Mammalia; Artiodactyla; Bovidae. The record is from RefSeq and is a predicted model, not a curated record. The transcript has 2 exons.